RNAcentral lists this ribosomal RNA (497 nucleotides) under uncultured bacterium. Its description in RNAcentral is "partial 16S ribosomal RNA". It matches the Rfam family "Bacterial small subunit ribosomal RNA", at positions 28 to 507 of the family's 1533-position model. The record is from RNAcentral.
GAUGAACGCUGGCGGCGUGCCUAAUACAUGCAAGUCGAGCGAACGGACGAGAAGCUUGCUUUUCUGAUGUUAGCGGCGGACGUGUGAGUAACACGUGGAUAACCUACCUAUCAGACUGGGAUAACUUCGGGAAACCGGAGCUAAUACCGGAUAAUCUUUUGAACCGCAUUGUUCAAAAGUGAAAGACGGUCUUGCUGUCACUUAUCGCUGGAUACGAGCUGCAUUAGCUAGUUGUUAAGGUAACGGCUUACCAAGGCAACGAUGCAUAGCCGACCUGAGAGGGUGAUCGGCCACACGAGAACUGAGACACGGUCCAGACUCCUACGGGAGGCAGCAGUAGGGAAUCUUCCGCAAUGGGCGAAAGCCUGACGGAGCAACGCCGCGUGAGUGAUGAAGGUCUUCGGAUCGUAAAACUCUGUUAUUAGGGAAGAACAUAUGUGUAAGUAACUGUGCACAUCUUGACGGUACCUAAUCAGAAAGCCACGGCUAACUACGUG